This 73-nucleotide transfer RNA is filed under the name Streptococcus agalactiae. RNAcentral describes it as "tRNA-Asp". It matches the Rfam family "tRNA". From Rfam's summary of the family: Transfer RNA (tRNA) molecules are approximately 80 nucleotides in length. Their secondary structure includes four short double-helical elements and three loops (D, anti-codon, and T loops). Lineage: Bacteria; Bacillati; Bacillota; Bacilli; Lactobacillales; Streptococcaceae. The record is from RNAcentral. RNAcentral also lists the same sequence under 1 other name.
GGUCCCGUAGUGUAGCGGUUAUCACGUCGACCUGUCACGGCGAAGAUCGCGGGUUCGAUUCCCGUCGGGACCG